UGCCGGGGGGAAUGCCAGCCUCGGGCAGGCCCUCUACAAAGAGGGAAAACUGAGACAUGGGGAAAGGGAGGAACACAACUGAUUUAGAGAAGUGAAUGACAGAGGAAGGGAAACCAAAUCUAAUCAAAGCAAGUCCCUAAAUUUAAAUUUCAGUCAGGAAAAAAAUCUGUGGGAAAAAAUAGCGCUGUCCUUUACGCAAAUUGGCUCUGUCACAGGACAAGAAUUAAGCGGACAAAGCCUGUUGCAGAGCCACCUUUAGAACCUCCUCCAACACCUUUCAGGAGGUUUUACACACACAAAACAUCAAGUUUGUUGUUAAAGCACGCACAUUGCCAGGCAGUGACACCCAUCCUCGUUCCCUCCCAAGGCACGCUGCCUUCACACCCGCAGCCAUUUUGCAGCCUCGAGUCGCUUCAGCUCACACUCCUUCAAACUCCUUCCCAGCCUGGGGCUCGGACAUCACACCCAAAGGAAAAUUCCAGUGAGUGGUUUUGUUCAUAAUUCAGAGGAAUUUUUAAAUUCUUAGGAAACACACAGCAAAAGCAAAAGCCAUGUUACAAAAGGUGAUGUUACGAAACAAAUUAUAACAAAAGCUGCACGAAACAGAGAAAACAUAUGUGUGGCCGUUCAGUCAAUGCUGGUGAUUUACCCAAGAACAUAUGGAAAGUUUGUGGCAGAAUCAACAUGUGGAGCACAAGCUUAUCCUUGCCCUCAGUUCAGGCUCACUUGCACCUGGACCUCCUCCUGACACUAGAUUUUGAAAGCCUGACUCAUCACAGGUUCUUCUAUGUGCUCAAGCUAAAGCCUAUGUGAAACAAACCAUUAUUUUAAAUUAACUUCUCUAUUUUUACAGUGUAUCAUUUUUAUUCCAUUGAUAUUUAUAUGCCUAGAAAAUGUAUUUGGUGCCUCAGUUCCUUUUUUCACAUUAGAAUUGUCAUUUGUGUCACAUUUUAAGCCAAAUUAAAUUAUAAAAAUAGUUAUGUAACUACUAGCACCAUAGAAUUUCUUUUUAUUUCGGAGACAAACAAGGAGUAUAUUGGAAAAAAACCCUGUGAAUCUCAUUUCUGGUCCUAAUGAAGCAAGUAACCCAUUAUACCAAGGUUAAUUUGUUGACUCAUGAUUUCCACUUAUCCAAUGAUAUACUGAAUCAUAUGAACAAACCUCUACAUCUAAUCAGUUUUUUUAUUGAAUCCUGACCUUUUAUGCACCUUCUUCUUGAUUAUGAAUGACAGUGACCUUUAUCUAAUUUAAAACACACAUACUGAUGCAAAAAUAUGCAAAGUACACAUGUAAAUUCUGAAUUAAGAUGAAGAUGUGCAUAAUCUUCUAAGGAGAAAUUGCUUUAGAGAGAGAUGUUUAUAUUAGCGCCAAUUGAGGGUAUAUGGGGAGAAAAAGUGAAUUAGUCAGAACUCAGAUGGUUUUGGAGGAACAGCUGCAGAGAUACUGAGGGCUGUUUAGAUUUUCUCUGCUUCUAUUUAGAAUCCUGAAAUGUCAAUAUAAAUAUCAAUUUUUAUUAUGCGAUUCAGCUUUUUGUGGCAUUCAUGGAAUGAUCAAAAUGGAAUAAAGUCAGAUAAAACACCUUUUCACCUAAGGUUUGACAAACUGUACCCCAGUAUUCUAUUUAUGUUUCACUCAAAAUACAUAGUAGUAAUUUCCUACUACACAAAAUCUGGGUCAAAUUCACAAUAUUAUAAAAGCUGUCUGGUUCACUUUGCCAUUUACCUCAUUAGAAGGAAUGGUAUAAGCAUCAUAUGGAGAUGAUCUUUUUAGUUCAGGAUAUAACUAGGAAUUGCUGUAAGUGCUGAAAAAUAAAUAAACAAAUUUAAGAGUAGUGAAACUUGGGACAAAAAGAACUCCCUAACUUUCAUUUUGCUUUUUUUCUGCUCAUCACUAAUGGGCCUGCACUGAAAUUACUACAGAUGAACGCACAAUGGGCACGGUCUGAACCACUGUGUAAUCCUAUAAUCUACUCUCUCUUUUCACAAGUCAUUCCUUCAUCUGAAUUGCUGUGAACCUAAGUUGUAGAUCAGCAGCUUUGUUCUAGCCUCUGCAUUAAAAAAAUGUGAAAAAAAAAUAUACAGAAAAUUUGCAAAACUCAGUGUAAAGACUGUCAAAGCACAAAUCUAACAAACACAUUCCUCUGAGACGCUCCAACCAAACAGUACCUGGCAUUAGCAUGUACUUUCAUGAUUAACAACAGGGGGUUGUCAGACUGCUAUUUCUGAAAUAAACAGAUUUAUCCUGACAGAUAAUCAGCAGUUUGCGCUACCUAAUACAUGUUAUCAUCCACCACUGACAUCAUUACAUUAAAAGCACACUUAGUAUAAUCUUUUGUAUGAAAUUAAACGGGUUUUAUGAUACAUUUUUGGUGGUUUUUUUGCGGCGGAUAGAGGGGAGCCUGGUGAAGAGACUGCAAGGUCAGAGAAAACAUCCAUAGCAAACAACACAGAGAAGAUCCCCAGAAAUGUUAUGCUAUAUUUGGUUUUUUUUUCACAAUUUAUUAUGUAAUUUCUAAAUAAAUUAAACUCAAGUGUUCUGACUGCAAACCACAUCUUGUACUUUUAAGCAGUCUUCUGUAAUAUCCUUGGCUGUCCCACAUGUUACCUCAAUACUCUCCAGUGUCCCUCUGUCUGUCCAUCCUGCUAGGUUCACAUAAAAACUUGCCAUACAGCAUGAACUUGUGAAACAUAUUUGAUCUUUCCACUUAUAUUUUUGGGACUGGCUAAUGGACUUUGGGAAACCAUCAAGCAAUGCCUGCACAGAUUUUUGGAGGUUCAAACUUAUCUUUAACUUUUAGACCUCUUUUUGUUCACCAUCUCUUCCUCCCUGGAGAAAGGAGGCACCAGGUUUCACAUUACUCACUGGACAGGUAAAACAAAAACUGUUGUAUCUAUGGAGGAAAUAUGGAACAAAGUCAUUUGAACAUGUGAUGCCUAUGGAUCCUCCCUCCUUUCCUGCCUGCUCACUAACCUAGCUGUUUCUGCAGUGAUCAGCUUUGUACUCAACAUGGGCAAUGAAAUUUUGGUAAGAAAAACGAAAUAUACAUCCCCCAUGUAUGUAUGUAUAUAUGUCAAUGUAUAUGUAUGUAUAUGUAAUAUAUGUACACUCCUCCAAGUAAAAAAUUCUUGCCUCAGCUCUAAGGGUAAUGGGAAUUAUAUAUACUGUCAUGUUCACUGGAGAAAAUACUGAAAUGUCUUUCCUUUUUUAAAUUUUAGGUUGCCAACUGACAUUAUACUAUUACUGUUCUGUGAACUCGUGUAACGUAGCCAUGGCAAAGCCAAGGAACAAAAAUUGCAUGGGGACUGUUACUUGACUUUAACAAGUAUUUCAUCUUCUUCCUUAGAGCACAAUUUCUAAGUCAUAGACUUUUCUGCAGGGGCAAGUCAGAUAUCAGAGUCCUGGCUCCAGAGGCCUGUUGUGACUUAUUUCUCCAGAGACAGAACCUCAUUAUUUUCAGAUGGUAAAACCUGCAGGAAGGAGCCUGAUGGGAGCAAGAGCCCUGCCUUAUGUACAGCUCCGAGGUUUGCUGCGUCCCAUGGACCUGCUGCAAGGCACACCACAGCGGAGUAUCUGGAAAUCUUUCUAGAAGAGAGCUUUGGCUGAGUUACUGUAGCAGUGGCAGGUUUGCAGAGGCAGAGGAAGAAACCAAACCAAUGGGAAAAAGGAACUGGCUGCAGAAAGUCUCUGAUAGUCUCAUCUAGAAAAGUGCAUGGCAUUAAUUAGCCUGAAAUGAAACACAGGGUCUUGCUCCAUGGAGAGUUUACUGAAAAUACAUUCAGAGGGCUCAAUAAUAUUCCAUCUCAACCUAGUUUCAUCUCAUUUAUUUCACUGUAUCAAAGAAUUAAACUAAGUUGUGUCAAGUAAACCUGGUGAAUUUAAAGGAAACUUGAGUACAUAAUUUGGAUGUAACUGUAUGAAAUGCUGCUGAUGACUCACUAAGGACCACUUUUGUCCCUGUGAGCCAUUGAUCAUUGGGUAAAAGAUGGAAAAGAAUCAGGAAAUAGCUGUCUGCUGCAACAGUAUUUUAAUCCACUUACAAAAAAUCUUCCUUGGAAAGGCCUUUUUCAUAUCUCCAGUGGUGACUCAUCUAAUCUCAUCUCUGUAUAUUGCUAAACUCCACAGGGAUCACCUUUACUUUCCAACUUUACCCUGGCCAGAGAUUCAGUCAGACAAAAGAUCCUUAAUGCCUUUCCUUAAGUUCAGCUCACUUCUCUAAAAUGCAUUUCCCCUCUCUUUCACAAAAUGAAAGAAGUAGUUUUUUAGAAAUGCUUUCUUUUUUCCCUUUCUUUUUUGUUUCCUACUUUUUUUUUUUUUUUCUGGGGAGGCAGGAUGCCAGUAUCAAAUGCUUCUUUUCUGCAAAUCAAAAUUUCUUUGUGUGGAGCAAGUUGAGUUUUUGGGAAGAAUAUAUUUCUUUUUUCCUGUCUAGAAAGGAUUCUUAAAUUUUACUUUUAAAACUCAUGUAUCAAAAAUAUAUGUUUGUUCCUCCACAUUAUAUAUAUGCUUCUUCUCUCUAACAUUAAUUUAUUAAAAAAAAGUCUGCACUUGAAAGAGUUAAAAAAAAUUCUAAUUACAGGAUAAGAAAGAAAGGUCAGACUCCACUUACAUCAUUGUGAAGGGCUUUUAUUACACACUGCUAUAAAACAUAUUUCUUUUUUUCAGUUGCCAUCCUCACAGGGUAACCUGCAUACCAAUAGGAUCUCCAAAAUGCCAUGAAGCAAAAGAUAUUUAUCUGCUAAAUUCUAUGUACAGUAACCUUACAAAUGCCAAAGAAAGAAAGAUUGCCCUCUGCACAGUAAUACUUGUGUAGAUGUCUUCUUUAUGCUAACAAUGACAGGGCUCUCUAGGUUUGCACUGUACUCCAAAAUCAGAAUGCAUUUUUUGUUCAGAAAAGCAGACUGUAUAUCAAAGAGAAAAUAUGCACAUUUUAGGCACUGAAAUACUUAAUAUAGUGAGCAAAUACUUUCCUGAAGCAUUUUUAGUAGAAAUAUCUAAUCCAGAAACAUGAAAUGAAAAUGUAUGACUCAAGCCUUCUUGAAGAAAUUAGACAGGAUAUGUUUGGGAAUAUCUCUCUGUCCUGACUGGUUAACUAAAUUUUCAUUUUGAACUCUGUUUGAAGCCUCACAGAACUGUUAUUUGAUUAACUUGACUAUGUUAGAUAGCAAGUUAUCCAAAAGCAGAGUGGCUCCAAAUCUAAUUGCUGUCAUUUUUUAAAUCCAGCUGUGCAAAACAACAAACAAGAACUUUACUCUGGGACAAGUACAAGUCAGAAAAAUUCUAAUUUUUGCAAUAUAUUAGUCUUCAAUUCCAUUACCUGUGAUUUAAUGUAUCUAAAGUUGUUUAUGUAGUUAUUUAUAUAACUAUUUUCAGCCCUAAAUUCUGACAAUGUAUUCAAAGAAAUAUACAUCAAUAAAUGCAAGAUUUUCUGUCUGCUUUCAUAAUACCAGCCUGUGCUGUCAGAUGUAUUAGUUCAAUAUUUCAAGUGAUGUAUGCUUAAAAUUAGAAUGUAACUAAUGAUGUAGUGACUGACUUUUCUU
This is a long non-coding RNA of Passer domesticus (house sparrow), 5534 nucleotides long. RefSeq lists it as uncharacterized. The transcript has 4 exons. The record is from RefSeq and is a predicted model, not a curated record. NCBI's taxonomy places the organism in Eukaryota, Metazoa, Chordata, Aves, Passeriformes, Passeridae.